CUAACAACACGCAUGCACACACCUUACGCACGUUCGCGCGGACUUCGAUGCCGUGCGCCACCUCCCUUUGGGAGGGGAGGGGCUCAUCCCUCUUCCCAAUUCGCUGGGCCUGGGAGGCGCAGUAGUGACGCAACACAGGAAUGAAGGUGUCGCCGAACGUUUUCCUGCGGCGUCAUCUGCUGAGCCUCCCCGUCCCGGCGGGGCAGCGCGUUCCCCGGAAGCGUGUGCGGGGGAAAAGUUGCACACCAAUCGUGAAGAUGACGUUGCGCGCCUUCAGCACCUUCGCUAAUGCCUCCCGCCGAGCUCCAGCAAAGAUGGCCAGCUCAGGCGCAACAAAUACAUCGAGCGGCGCCCUGUGGCGCCCACACUGUUCCCCGCGGCAGAAUAAAUUGAGAAGAGGGAGGGAGGGAGGGAGGGGGGGGGCUCCGAAACGCGAUACCGUCAGCUUUACAGAAUUAGGCACGCAGGUGCCGUUGCCAUGGUACCUGCAGGGUCAAGUGCAGCAUAGACGGACUUGCAUACGCCCUUCAAAGGCAACACAGACCCGCAUGGCGUAGUGCGUUCGCUUUCGCAGGCCUACAAGCUCACACGCCGCGCGAGCAACCCCUGAUCGAACCACAUCGGGGACUGCGAGGGCUGUGGAAGAGCCCGAAGAGAAGAAGCGCUGCCACCGACUGUGUCCGAGGUGCGUUGCCAUUCGGUGUGUUCUGGUUCAUUGCUGAACCGCAGUAGACGGGCAGGUCGGCUCACUUCAGUGUCCUGCGAGCAGGGGGUGGGCGAGUGGGGAGAGUGGCGGAAGGGUGCGGGGAUGACGCUUCGUCAGGGGGCCGUGCAUGGGUUGGCGUGUUCAUCAUUCGACCUGUAUGCAGACACGCCCACUGCAGGCUCAUGAUGGUGCCAGUGGCUUUCUACAGCUUGAAUCCUCUCUUACUGAAGCAGACCACGCCGCAGGAGCAACGACAACAAGCUGACGAGGUUUACACAGAGGCGCCGACCAUCUACGCACGGUUGCGGGCGCCCCCGGACAUCACCACCAGCUCCGCGGGGAAUGCAUGCCUCACCUACCCUAUUGCCCCCCUCCCCCUCCCCCCAAAGCGCGCGUGCAGAGGCGCGGCGGCAGCUCGGCUUAUGUGGUGUGAAUGUGGAGGGCACACCCGCCGCCCCAUCAGUAGCGGGGGUGCAGUCCUCUCGACACACUGGAUGACGCAAAAUGGCACUGCUGCUAGGCCGCCGGUAUUCCCACCAUUCAGGGGAGACGGAGAUCCCCGCUGGCGCGCACGACUGCGUAUAAUGCAGUGCUCUUUUCCCGCCUCUGUCGCCGUUCUGCUAACACAUCCCUAAGUCUCUCUCUCUCUCCCUGUGUCUUCGAUGCCAUGCCACAUAUACCGUGCCCGCUGGUGGGCCGCUAUCACCCACAGCCUCAUCCUACAUACG
RNAcentral lists this unclassified non-coding RNA (1434 nucleotides) under Leishmania donovani. RNAcentral describes it as "gene:unknown". Lineage: Eukaryota; Euglenozoa; Kinetoplastea; Trypanosomatida; Trypanosomatidae. The record is from RNAcentral.